CUCCGAUGCUUGUUGUCAUCUGUUUACUCCUAUGUAAUCACUUAAGUUGUUAUUAACUGCUGCAUGCUAAGCUGCAAGAGUGCACUGAGGACUGAGACAAAAUAUGGUCUACAAACCAGCAUUAUAUUAGUUUUUAUCAGAUAGUCCUCCAGUGUGUUUAAUUUUUGCUUUAAUUCUAUUGUGCAGUUAUUUGUUACCCUGAAAUGCUUUAUGCUUAACAACAGCUCACUAUUUUGACUUAUUUUUGAACUCUUGUGAUCAGUAUGACUAGAUUGUGUGAGUUUCCAUACUAAAAGAGCUGUAGUGAUAAAAUAACUGGCAUCAGAGACACUGGUUUUUGGCAUGGUAUACUGCAGAAGUUUUUUUUUUUUGCAUAAUUUACCUUUUAAUUAAACUGCAUUCUCUGUAUUGUAACAAAACUAACAUUGUUUAUAUGUCAGAAAAUUAGCAAACAUGAAUAAAUGGCAAAAACAAUAUAAUUAUAACAUAUAUUUUUAUUUUACUUAUUUUAGGUCUGUGAAGCCAAACUUGAUGCUGGGGAUUUAUUUUUGUCAGUGGAGUCAAAUGGUAACUUACAAUUUGUGCAUUUUGUCAUACUGGAAACACCUCAGAUUAUAUUGUAAUUUAAUAGCUCUAUAGAACAAAUGAUAUAAAGAUUGUAGUGUCAGGGUACUUCUUAAGAAGUAAUAUGGCACUAUUGAUGAUCACAUGCAGGUGGCAUAAACUAAAUAUUCAGACGUGUUACCAACAAAUGAUUCAUUAACAAAAGCAAUGGAGCAGACUGUUUAGGUUCUUGUGGUUGUAAUAACGUCCAUAACUGCAAGUUUGUCAUUAAUUUAUUUUCACAGGUCUAGAUGAUCACAUCUGUCUUUGUCAUUUAAAUGAGGUGGACUUGCAAACUUUGCGCUCUUUUGGAUUUCAAGACAGAGCUUAUUGUUCUCUGAACUUCCUUGUUUGCUGAACGGCAGGUUGAAGCAGAAUUUGCCCGUCUUACAUCUGUUGACCUGAAAGGGUUCCUUUUUGCUGUGCUUGACCAUUAUGGAGAGGUUCGUGGAGCUGUACAAAAUCAAGAGCGGCAUAGGAGGGCUAACUAGGCUCAUAAGAUGCUUCGGAGAUGAUAGCCCUACACAAAGGAAGAGGACAGAGGGCCUCAUUUUCUAAAGGAAGAGCCCUCACACACUUUCAAGACUGUGAAGCCGACAGGUAUUGAAGACACGUUUUCUAAGAGGAUGAAAGUUGGCAUUGUGAUGGUGAAAGAAGAAGACAUCAUCGAUGUGUUGGUCGUCCCUGAGGCGGCAGUAAUCCUGUCUAAUCUGAGGGAUGUCUCAAGUGCCAUUUCCAUGCUGAUGGGCCUUCUUUU
Oreochromis aureus is the source of this 1360-nucleotide long non-coding RNA. The record is from Ensembl. NCBI's taxonomy places the organism in Eukaryota, Metazoa, Chordata, Actinopteri, Cichliformes, Cichlidae.